Molecule: unclassified non-coding RNA, 424 nt
Filed under: Hevea brasiliensis (rubber tree)
Lineage: Eukaryota; Viridiplantae; Streptophyta; Magnoliopsida; Malpighiales; Euphorbiaceae
Source: RNAcentral
UCUUGCAGUCUCCAGGUAUGGCCUCCGACGGCAGCCUUAGUGUUUCGGUUUCCACAUCUCCUAAACAUGGAAACAGAGAUGCUGAGACGGUGACGUCGAGUUCGCCGAAAGGCCAGUGUUUGUGCUCGCCCACGGUGCAUCAAGGCUCCUUUAGGUGUCGGCUUCAUCGUUCGACAUCAUCGGCGUGGAUGAAACGUUCAAAAUCAAUGCCUGCCAACAACCCUGUGGCUUCUCUUUCGCCCAAAGAAUCACAUGGAUCUUCCUAAGGCCAUGGGGCGUGUGCAUGAAGCUGAAUACAUGUAACACACCUUAAACUUAUAUCCUCUUAAUUCUCUAAAGUUGUGGAGAAGAAAAGCUUUGAUUUUAUAUCUCAACUUUGUAUGGCAUGGAAUAUAUAUAAUAUGUUUGCCUUUGCGUGUUCGCG